AGGAUCCCUGAGGCCCCGGCCUGGCCCAGCUACCUGAAGGAGCUUUUUGUCUGACCCAGGCGCGCCGGGAGCGCAUUCUUUCACAUUAAGAACCGCAGGGGAAGACAUUCAUUCACUCCCUUUUUUUGGUGACGUAGCUGGGGCAUUCAUGUGUUUUUAACCUUGAAUAAUUUUUGUCUCUAAGCUCCAAACAAGUUUUAUCCUGUCCACAGGUCAGUUUUGUUACAGAGGCCAAUUAGCAGUGCUACCUUCGCCUGCGGCAAAAAGCCAAGUAAUGGCGGGGCAAGCCCUACGGAGAGGUGAUGAAUAAGUCCCGAGAGCUGUAAUUUGAAAGGGGGGCCUUUGAAGCAUUUACCUUACAUGGGACGCUAUUGUCACUGCAGGGUGUUUGAUCUUAAAAUAAUUUACUUAAUGAUCUCACCAUGGGAGCGAUUGGCAGAGCAAGAUUAGGCUGUAAGGCCUAAUGGACAUGGGAAAAGUUAAAAGUGCUCGGAGAAAGUAUUUUAGAACACAGAGUUGAAUCUAUUCACAUCUAUCAUCUCCUGAUGAUUUCAACCAGUGUAUGACCUCCGGCAAAGGACAUGACUCCAUCCAGAUCAUGCACUCAGCUUGGUAAAGCGUGGGAAGAACAGAUGAACCCAGCGUCGGUGGCUGUGUAGGCAAAUCUUUUUGCAUAUUAAGGAAGGAAAUCGGAAGCUGAAUUGGACAUGGCCACAAGAACGCAGGCCUGAAUCGCAUUAUGUUCCAGGAACCUUGAACUUCGCAUCAUAAUGACCUGGGGCCUAACAGAAGCAAAUUGCAAGUGGUUUCAAAAGGAUAAACUCCAAUUUAUAUUAAACUAGUAUUAUAACUUAAGCAGCUCGUUUUGAAAGCAACACGAAAAACCUCAUCAUUCAUGUGAUGGCUCCUUAAAUGCAUCCUUUUGCAUUUUACCUGUAAAAUGCUCUGUGUUUGCUGACAGGUUAAAUGUAUACUAUACACAGAGAGCCAACACUUCUCUUUGUACCACCGCGGCAAUCUCACUGGUUUUAGCCGCAUUCUUUAUUAUUUUAAGCUGUCGCCAUUGUCUUCUAAACACCAUAAUUAGAAGCUGAAAAGCUUACAGCAACCAAACCCAAUAAGGUUUCAUUAUGAACAAAAUAUUCUACUGUGGCUCAACAAGUGACCCUGUGUAGUCUAACAUGAUGAAGGCUUCAACCUUCCUGCCCAAUUAUAGCUUUGGGAAUGUAUAAAGUUUUCCCUUUCAGUAUUAUUUAGCAACUCUAUUCAAGCUUUAGUUUCUUGGUCAUAUUUCUUUACUUACUGGUCUCUUUGUUUCAUUUUGUGCAACUGUCAUUUUCCUACAGCCGUGGUAAAGAAAACCUGUCCCCUGGAAGCAGUUCAGAGUUUCUCUUAUCGGGGAUGUGGUGUUUUACAAAUAAGUUGAGAGAGGGAGUCAGUGAGCAGGGAGCUGAAAUCAUUAAGCCCCUUGACUAGAGAGAGAAUAGAGGGAGGUGAUUUUAGGGCCCAAGAAAAUACUGCCCGCACCAGAUCAGUGACUUUUUAAUGUGAUGCUUGGUAUCUUUUUUCCAUUUGAUUCAAGUCUUCUUCUUCUUUUUUUUAAUGUUUAUUUAUUUUAGACAGAGAGACAGACACAGAGUGUAAGCUGGGGAGGAG
Molecule: long non-coding RNA, 1656 nt
Organism: Leopardus geoffroyi (Geoffroy's cat)
Lineage: Eukaryota; Metazoa; Chordata; Mammalia; Carnivora; Felidae
Exons: 4
Source: RefSeq, a predicted model, not a curated record